GACGAACGCUGGCGGCGUGCUUAACACAUGCAAGUCGAGCGGGUAAGGCCCUUUCGGGGGUACGACGAGCGGCGAACGGGUGAGUAACACGUGGGUGACCUGCCCUCAGCUCUGGGAUAGGCCCGGGAAACUGGGUCUAAUACCGGAUAUGACUCCAUGACGCAUGUUGUGGGGUGGAAAGCCUUGUGCGGCUGAGGAUGGGCCCGCGGCCUAUCAGCUUGUUGGUGGGGUGAUGGCCACCAAGGCGACGACGGUAGCCGGCCUGAGAGGGCGACCGGCCACACUGGGGACUGAGAUACGGCCCAGACUCCUACGGGAGGCAGCAGUGGGGAAUCUUGCGCAAUGGGCGAAAGCCUGACGCAGCGACGCCGCGUGAGGGAUGACGGCCU
Molecule: ribosomal RNA, 389 nt
Filed under: uncultured bacterium
Lineage: Bacteria
Description: bacterial SSU rRNA
Rfam family: Bacterial small subunit ribosomal RNA
Source: RNAcentral